Long non-coding RNA from Heterocephalus glaber (naked mole-rat), 343 nucleotides. The record is from Ensembl. Lineage: Eukaryota; Metazoa; Chordata; Mammalia; Rodentia; Bathyergidae.
GAGGGCACUAGCAUCUGGCUUUAAUCUCUGUCUGAAGGAAACAUGAGCCCUCCCCCAGUCUAGUGGGUUUUCCUCUCCCCAGCUGAACUCAGAAUUGAUCAUUUUGGGACUUUAAAGCAAUACAUUCAAUCAAGGAGCAAAACUGGAAAUUCCUGACUUGGAAACAGAUGGUGAGGAUCUCACAUGUCAAUCACAUAAGAAGAAAUAUAAGACUUUGAAGUGCCCCUCGAACCCCCUGAAAGGAUUUCUGGGUAUUCUGUCUAGCAUAUCUACCUGGAUUAUCUGAUUCUUUGGUGGCCUACUCCUUUAAUUGUCUUUGUGCUGUUUUUAAAUCUCUGUAAAU